Molecule: ribosomal RNA, 543 nt
Filed under: uncultured bacterium
Lineage: Bacteria
Description: bacterial SSU rRNA
Rfam family: Bacterial small subunit ribosomal RNA
Source: RNAcentral
GCGGUAACAGGUGUAGCAAUACAUGCUGACGAGCGGCGAACGGGUGAGUAAUGCUUCGGAAUCUGCCCAAUGGUGGGGAAUAACCAGCCGAAAGGUUGGCUAAUACCGCAUAAGUCCUACGGGGGAAAGCAGGGGAUCGCAAGACCUUGCGCCGAUGGAUGAGCCGAAGUCGGAUUAGCUAGUUGGUAGGGUAACGGCCUACCAAGGCGACGAUCCGUAGCUGGUCUGAGAGGACGACCAGCCACACUGGGACUGAGACACGGCCCAGACUCCUACGGGAGGCAGCAGUGGGGAAUAUUGGACAAUGGGGGAAACCCUGAUCCAGCGACGCCGCGUGUGUGAAGAAGGCCUGCGGGUUGUAAAGCACUUUUAGUGGGGAUGAAAAGCUCAGGGCUAACACCUCUGGGUCCUGAUCUAACCCACAGAAAAAGCACCGGCUAACUCUGUGCCAGCAGCCGCGGUAAUACAGAGGGUGCGAGCGUUAAUCGGAAUUACUGCGCGUAAAGCGUGCGUAGACGGUUAUGUAAGUCGGGUGUGAAAGCC